UUCAAGAUUCUAAGAGCAAACGGUGGAUGCCUUGGCAUCUGGAGCCGAAGAAGGACGUAUAAAUCUGCGAUAAGCCUCGGGGAGCUGAUAAUAGAGCUUUGAUCCGAGGAUCUCCGAAUGGGGAAACCCCGCCAGGCCCUUUGGGUGACCUGGUGACUCCCGCCUGAAUAUAUAGGGCGGGUAGAGGGAACGUGGGGAAGUGAAACAUCUCAGUACCCACAGGAAGAGAAAGCAAAAGCGAUUCCGUUAGUAGUGGCGAGCGAAACCGGAAGAGGCCAAACCGAUCAUGUGUGAUAUCCGGUAGGAGUUGCAUGGUCGGGGUUGCGGGACUUUCCGUACAGUUCUACCGAGCUGUGAGGGCAAUGAGCGCGAUAUAGACGAAUGGUCUUGAAAGGCCAGUCAUAGAGGGUGCGAACCCCGUAGUCGAAAUGUCGUCGCCUGUCCGGAGAGUAUCCCAAGUAGCACGGGGCCCGAGAAAUCCCGUGUGAAUCUGUCAGGACCACCUGAUAAGCCUAAAUACUCCCAGAUGACCGAUAGCGGACAAGUACCGUGAGGGAAAGGUGAAAAGUACCCCGGGAGGGGAGUGAAAUAGUACCUGAAACCGUUUGCUUACAAACCGUUGGAGCACCCUUGUUGGUGUGACAGCGUGCCUUUUGAAGAAUGAGCCUGCGAGUUAGUGAUAUGUGGCGAGGUUAACCCGUGAGGGGCAGCCGUAGCGAAAGCGAGUCUUAAUAGGGCGUAUGAGUCGCAUGUUCUAGACCCGAAGCGAAGUGAUCUAUCCAUGGCCAGGUUGAAGCGACGGUAAGACGUCGUGGAGGACCGAACCCACUUCAGUUGAAAAUGGAGGGGAUGAGCUGUGGAUAGGGGUGAAAGGCCAAUCAAACUUCGUGAUAGCUGGUUCUCUCCGAAAUGCAUUUAGGUGCAGCGUUGCGUGUUUCUUGCCGGAGGUAGAGCUACUGGAUGGACGAUGGGCCCCAAAAGGUUACUGACUUCAGCCAAACUCCGAAUGCCGGUAAGUGAGAGCGCAGCAGUGAGACGGUGGGGGAUAAGCUUCAUCGUCGAGAGGGAAACAACCCAGACCACCAUCUAAGGUCCCUAAGCGCGUGCUAAGUGGGAAAGGAUGUGGAGUUGCAUAGACAACCAGGAGGUUGGCUUAGAAGCAGCCACCCUUGAAAGAGUGCGUAAUAGCUCACUGGUCAAGUGAUUCCGCGCCGACAAUGUAACGGGGCUCAAGCACGCCACCGAAGUUGUGGCAUUUAUAUUAUAGGCAGGCCUUCGUGGUCCAGCCGUAUGGAUGGGUAGGAGAGCGUCGUGUGGCCAGCGAAGCGGCGGUGUGAACCAGCCGUGGAGGCCACACGAGUGAGAAUGCAGGCAUGAGUAGCGAAAGACGGGUGAGAAACCCGUCCUCCGAAAGACCAAGGGUUCCAGGGCCAGGCUAAUCCGCCCUGGGUAAGUCGGGACCUAAGGCGAGGCCGACAGGCGUAGUCGAUGGACAACGGGUUGAUAUUCCCGUACCGAUGAAGAACCGCCCAAGACAAUCCAGUAAUGCUAAGUGUCUGAAUCCUUGAUUCGAUCCCUUCGGGGUGACGGUCUUGGCCUAGCACACGACCCUACGCUGGGGCGUUUAGCGUAUUAACAGGUGUGACGCAGGAAGGUAGCUGAGCCGGGCGAUGGUUGUCCCGGUCUAAGGAUGUAGGGCAGAAGAUAGGCAAAUCCGUCUUCUAUGUAGCCUGAGACCCGAUGGGUAGUCCUCACGGACGAAAUCAGUGAUCCUAUGCUGCCGAGAAAAGCAUCGACGCGAGGUUCCAAUCGCCCGUACCCCAAACCGACUCAGGUGGUCAGGUAGAGAAUACUAAGGAGAUCGAGAGAAUCGUGGUUAAGGAACUCGGCAAAAUGCCCCCGUAACUUCGGGAGAAGGGGGGCCUGAGGCGUGUAGGGAUUUACUCCUGAAGCGUUUGAAGGCCGCAGAGACCAGUGGGAAGCGACUGUUUACUAAAAACACAGGUCCGUGCUAAGUCGCAAGACGAUGUAUACGGACUGACGCCUGCCCGGUGCUGGAAGGUUAAGAGGAACGGUUAGCACGCAAGUGCGAAGCUGAGAAUUUAAGCCCCAGUAAACGGCGGUGGUAACUAUAACCAUCCUAAGGUAGCGAAAUUCCUUGUCGGGUAAGUUCCGACCUGCACGAAUGGCGUAACGACUUCCCAGCUGUCUCAACCGCGAACUCGGCGAAAUUGCACUACGAGUAAAGAUGCUCGUUACGCGCAGCAGGACGGAAAGACCCCGUGACCUUUACUACAGCUUGGUAUUGGUGUUCGGUGUGGCUUGUGUAGGAUAGGUGGGAGACUGUGAAGCUCGGACGCUAGUUCGGGUGGAGUCAUUGUUGAAAUACCACUCUGGUCACUCUGGAUAUCUAACUUCGAACCGUAAUCCGGUUCAGGGACAGUGCCUGGUGGGUAGUUUAACUGGGGCGGUUGCCUCCUAAAGAGUAACGGAGGCGCCCAAAGGUUCCCUCAACCUGGUUGGUAAUCAGGUGUCGAGUGUAAGUGCACAAGGGAGCUUGACUGUGAGACUGACAAGUCGAGCAGGGACGAAAGUCGGGACUAGUGAUCCGGCAGUGGCUUGUGGAAGCGCUGUCGCUCAACGGAUAAAAGGUACCUCGGGGAUAACAGGCUGAUCUUGCCCAAGAGUCCAUAUCGACGGCAUGGUUUGGCACCUCGAUGUCGGCUCGUCGCAUCCUGGGGCUGGAGUAGGUCCCAAGGGUUGGGCUGUUCGCCCAUUAAAGCGGUACGCGAGCUGGGUUUAGAACGUCGUGAGACAGUUCGGUCCCUAUCCGCUGCGCGCGUAGGAAAUUUGAGAAGAUCUAUCCCUAGUACGAGAGGACCGGGAUGGACGAACCUCUGGUGUGUCAGUUGUUCCGCCAGGAGCACCGCUGAUUAGCUACGUUCGGAACGGAUAACCGCUGAAAGCAUCUAAGCGGGAAGCCGGCUUCGAGAUGAGAUUUCCAUCCCUUUUAGGGUGAAGGCUCCCGGCUAGACUACCGGGUUGAUAGGCAGGAUGUGGAAGCGAGGACUAAAGACUCGUGGAGCUGACCUGUACUAAUAAGCCGAUAUCUUGAAAACAC
Molecule: ribosomal RNA, 3121 nt
Filed under: Clavibacter michiganensis
Lineage: Bacteria; Bacillati; Actinomycetota; Actinomycetes; Micrococcales; Microbacteriaceae
Also listed under: 1 other name
Description: bacterial LSU rRNA
Rfam family: Bacterial large subunit ribosomal RNA
Source: RNAcentral